GUGUUCAUGGAGGUAUUGGAUUACAACAUUGGAUGCACAAACAUUGCUUUCAUACACUUGGAAGAGCUCCUCAUUCAGUUCAGGGAAAUAUCAAAGUUAGGUGAUCUUGUCAGUAUGGAUGUGUGCAUGGAAAUCUUGGAUAUUCUGUAUGAGACUGAAGAUACCUCGUGGCUUUUUAACUUUGCCUGUCCACUGGCUGCUUCGACUCUUGUUACUGCGUACGUUAUCUCAGUUCCUAAGCAGAAAUGGGAGUUUCCAAUAAUUCCCUGGGGUAAGCCAUUAGAAGCACACUUCACCUUGUUUAUUCCAGUUCACUACUUCGUAUGCUGAAGAAGAGAUCUUGAAGAUUGUUAUGACAAUUCUCAUGCAUGUGAUCAAACCGGAUGAAAUCAAAGAGAAGAACAAGAGAGAUUUCAGUAUGUGAGGCUUGUGCAUCGGUGAUGUGUACAACACAACUGGCAGUGUCCAAAUUUUACCAAUUCCAGUUUACCACUUCAUAUGCUGAAGAAGAGAUCUCGAAGAUUGUUAUGACAAUUCUCAUGCAUGUGAUCAAACCAGAUGAAAGCAAAGAGAAGAACAAGAGAGAUUUCAGUAUGUGUACAACACAACUGGUAGUGUCCAAAUUUUACCAAUGUAAGUACUAACGACCUGCAACCAAAGUACAUAUGUAGAACAUAGGGCUGCUUGUUUGCAUCUGACCAUUUUUGAAUUUUGAUUUCCAAAACAUGCUGAGGAGUGAUGCUUGCUAAUUAAUUCUGUACAAAGUGGCCAAAGUAUUGAUGCUGGAUCUCUUCUGAGUUAUCCCCUCAUGUCAAUGCGGCAGUGGCACUUGGCAUUUUAUUUUACCUGAGGGUUACGAUAACAUUGAAAUCUCGCCAUCUUUUUUUUAUGUACAAUUGUAAACUACAUAUGAAAAUAACGGAGUU
This is an RNA transcript of Lolium rigidum, 926 nucleotides long. It is a transcript of the gene named cyclin-J18-like, with no coding region annotated. The record is from RefSeq and is a predicted model, not a curated record. NCBI's taxonomy places the organism in Eukaryota, Viridiplantae, Streptophyta, Magnoliopsida, Poales, Poaceae. The transcript has 6 exons.